Molecule: ribosomal RNA, 492 nt
Filed under: uncultured bacterium
Lineage: Bacteria
Description: partial 16S ribosomal RNA
Rfam family: Bacterial small subunit ribosomal RNA
Source: RNAcentral
AGUGAACGCUGGCGGUAGGCCUAACACAUGCAAGUCGAGCGGCAGCACAGUAAUAGCUUGCGGUUACAGCGGCGGACGGGCGGACGGUGCAUAGGUACAUCGCAGUCAGCGGUGUCUUGGGUGAGAACGUAGGGGCACAUACGGUAUUAGCGCAGAGGACGUACGUGGGAGAGCAUCGGAUCUUCGGAUCUCACGUGAGUCAAGGAGGCGAUGUCGGAUUAGCUAGUUGGAGGGGUAAAGGCCCACCAAGGCGACGAUCCGUAGCUGGUCUGAGAGGAUGAUCAGCCACACUGGAACUGAGACACGGUCCAGACUCCUACGGGAGGCAGCAGUGGGGAAUAUUGGACAAUGGGCGAAAGCCUGAUCCAGCCAUGCCGCGUGUGUGAAGAAGGUCUUCGGAUUGUAAAGCACUUUUGUUUGGGAAGAAAAGCAGCAAGUUAAUACCUUGCUGUUCUGACGGUACCAACAGAAUAAGCACCGGCUAACUUCGUG